AUGGCGUCGUCUUCUUCAUCCACACCAUCGCUGUUCACCCAGGUUACAGAGAAACUCACCCGCCAAAACUUCAUCUUGUGGCGUGCGUAGAUUCUUCCGCAGGUGCGUAGUGCGGGCCUCUAUGGCCUCCUUGAUGGAUCGGAUGCGGAGCCGGCCAAGACCGUCAUCGUCAAGGACAAGGACGGCAAGGACAGCAGCAUCACCAACCCUGAGCACGCGAUCUGGGUCAGGCAAGACCAGCUCGUGCUUGGCUACCUUCUGAACAACCUGACGAAGGAGGUACUCGUCCAGGUGGUGUCAAUCCCCACGGUGCAUGCCCUCUGGACCUACCUCGCCAAUAUGUUCUCCUCCACG
Molecule: ribosomal RNA, 354 nt
Filed under: Triticum aestivum (bread wheat)
Lineage: Eukaryota; Viridiplantae; Streptophyta; Magnoliopsida; Poales; Poaceae
Description: partial small subunit ribosomal RNA
Source: RNAcentral